Molecule: long non-coding RNA, 232 nt
Filed under: Lathyrus oleraceus (garden pea)
Lineage: Eukaryota; Viridiplantae; Streptophyta; Magnoliopsida; Fabales; Fabaceae
Description: Pisum sativum (pea) long non-coding RNA (PSAT_LNC009306)
Source: RNAcentral
CACACACCGCACCAUCUUCUUCUUCUGCAGGUACCACUCCUGGCUUCUAUAUUACAGAGGAGAUGUGGCGUGACCACAUGGCUAGAGAGCAAAGGCGUGACGACCUACUCUCUACCCUCCAGCAACAAAUGACGGAUAAUAUGAACUUCAUGCAAGAAUCACAGCGGAGGACAGACAGGUCCUACGACACUGUUCUACAGUCUCUGCAAGUGAUCACAGAUACACAAGCCCG